RNAcentral lists this ribosomal RNA (253 nucleotides) under uncultured bacterium. RNAcentral's name for it is "partial 16S ribosomal RNA". It matches the Rfam family "Bacterial small subunit ribosomal RNA", at positions 524 to 776 of the family's 1533-position model. The record is from RNAcentral.
UACGAAGGGGGCUAGCGUUGUUCGGAAUUACUGGGCGUAAAGCGCGCGCAGGCGGUCCUUUAAGUCAGGGGUGAAAUCCCAAGGCUCAACCUUGGAACUGCCUUUGAUACUGGGGAUCUCGAGUCCGGAAGAGGUGAGUGGAACUGCGAGUGUAGAGGUGAAAUUCGUGGAUAUUCGCAAGAACACCAGUGGCGAAGGCGGCUCACUGGUCCGGUACUGACGCUGAGGUGCGAAAGCGUGGGGAGCAAACAGG